Molecule: ribosomal RNA, 776 nt
Filed under: uncultured Neocallimastigales
Lineage: Eukaryota; Fungi; Neocallimastigomycota; Neocallimastigomycetes; Neocallimastigales
Description: partial large subunit ribosomal RNA
Rfam family: Eukaryotic large subunit ribosomal RNA
Source: RNAcentral
UAUCUCUGUAGAGUCUGCAUAUCAAUAAGCGGAGGAAAAGAAACUAACAAGGAUUCCCUUAGUGACGGCGAGUGAAGCGGGAAGAGCUCAAAUUUGAAAUCUUCAAGGUUCUACCUUGACGAAUUGUAGUUUAAAGAAGUGUUUUCUGUUAGGAUGAGUAGCAAAAGUUCCUUGGAAUGGGACAUCAUAGAGGGUGAGAAUCCCGUAUUUGGUUAUUCAUUCUAGCUUUGUGAUACACUUUCAAAGAGUCGGAUUGUUUGGGAAUGCAGUCCAAAAUGGGUGGUAAAUUUCAUCUAAAGCUAAAUAUUGGCGAGAGACCGAUAGCGAACAAGUACCGUGAGGGAAAGAUGAAAAGAACUUUGAAAAGAGAGUUAAACAGUACGUGAAAUUGUCAAAAGGGAAGCGUUUGACACCAGUGUUGUUUUUCCGAAAAUCAAUUAGCGAAUGGCUUGAUUUUGUGUUGUAUUGACCUUAUCAGCUUUCUUCACUUUUUUCGAGUCUUUCUUAAUGCACUUUUCGGUUAACAAGUCAACAUCAAUUUCUUUUGUUGUAAAAGAGUAUUCGGAAGGUGGCUUUCUUUUCGGAGAAAGUGUUUAUAGCCCUAUACUUCUACAAUCGGAGAGAUUGAGGUCUGCAGCGUAGAUCCUUCGGGGUUAGAUACACUUGUGCUAAGUUGUAGCUUUUCAUAGACAACUUGUUGACUAUGUUUAGUCAUGCGGCUUACUCGCUUAUGCUAUUUUACCUACGCUUAGGAUGUUGACUGAUAUGUAGUCGUA